This 88-nucleotide transfer RNA is filed under the name Vibrio phage 2.275.O._10N.286.54.E11. Its description in RNAcentral is "tRNA-Tyr". It matches the Rfam family "tRNA". Rfam says of the family: Transfer RNA (tRNA) molecules are approximately 80 nucleotides in length. The record is from RNAcentral. Lineage: Duplodnaviria; Heunggongvirae; Uroviricota; Caudoviricetes.
GGAGGUAUUGGGGAGUAGACAAACCCAAGGGACUGUAAAUCCCUCGCUUACGAGAGUAGCUACGGUGGUGCAAAUCCAUCUACCUCCA